GCGACCUGCAAAUUGCAAUGCAUUACGUGCGUGGCUUCUCAUCAAGUGAUCGAGUUAGAAUGUUACUUAGAUCAUAAAGGGAGCUUGUUGAAUUAAAGCACCUGCCUGUUGAGCAGGGGGCGGCGGAAGAUGGAGUCCAUGGCGAAGAGGAUGCUGUUGCUCAACGCCCACUGGGCACUGGCAGGCCCGUCUGAACCUCCUCAGGAGAGUCCGCCGCGCGACAGCCGUGCUCUCCAUCUUUUGGUCCUCCAUCUCUUAUUAGAAACAGGUAAGAAAAGGGUUUCAAGUUAAAGCACCCAUAAAAGUUUCAACCAAAAAGUAACCCGAUCGGUGCGUUUGCGUGGCUUUCGCAAACUCGCCGGCCGGAGGACGAACAAAUUAAACUAAAAGAUAGCCCGAGAAAGGGGGAGGGGGCCAGAGGAGGAGGAGGAGGCCACUCACCGGCGGGAGGCUGCAGAGAUGCUGGAGGAGCGUGAGUGAUCGAGGGCCGGGAUGAAGAAGAGUGUGAGAGGGACGAGGCCCGGUAUAAAAGGAGAGGGAUGAGAUAUAUAAGCAUGGCGCGUGGACCCCGGCCCCAUAACCCCAUGAAUCCAUGAUCAUGCACUCUGUUACCCCUUCCAUUAUCUUUUAG
This 631-nucleotide long non-coding RNA is filed under the name Setaria italica (foxtail millet). RNAcentral's name for it is "long non-coding RNA (SITA_LNC001458)". Lineage: Eukaryota; Viridiplantae; Streptophyta; Magnoliopsida; Poales; Poaceae. The record is from RNAcentral.